Molecule: ribosomal RNA, 515 nt
Filed under: uncultured bacterium
Lineage: Bacteria
Description: partial 16S ribosomal RNA
Rfam family: Bacterial small subunit ribosomal RNA
Source: RNAcentral
GAUGAACGCUGGCGGCGUGCCUAAUACAUGCAAGUCGAGCGAAUGGAUUAAGAGCUUGCUCUUAUGAAGUUAGCGGCGGACGGGUGAGUAACACGUGGGUAACCUGCCCAUAAGACUGGGAUAACUCCGGGAAACCGGGGCUAAUACCGGAUAACAUUUUGAACCGCAUGGUUCGAAAUUGAAAGGCGGCUUCGGCUGUCACUUAUGGAUGGACCCGCGUCGCAUUAGCUAGUUGGUGAGGUAACGGCUCACCAAGGCAAUGAUGCGUAGCCGACCUGAGAGGGUGAUCGGCCACACUGGGACUGAGACACGGCCCAGACUCCUACGGGAGGCAGCAGUAAGGAAUCUUCCGCAAUGGACGAAAGUCUGACGGAGCAACGCCGCGUGAGUGAUGAAGGCUUUCGGGUCGUAAAACUCUGUUGUUAGGGAAGAACAAGUGCUAGUUGAAUAAGCUGGCACCUUGACGGUACCUAACCAGAAAGCCACGGCUAACUACGUGCCAGCCGCCGCCGUAA